GUGAAUCUGCAGACAGUCUUGAUAUUUAUGGAUUCUUUACCAGUUCAGAAUCUGAGGGAUCUAAUCUCAAGGAGAUUUAAGAUACUAAAACUCAAUGCAUGGGCCAUAAAAUGUGGAGAAGACAUACAGAAGCCAGAAAGGGAAACUCAUCUUGUUCCAUUCCUGUAGGCACCUUGGAGCCUUUGUAUAAAGAGGAGUGAUUGGGUAAAGAGUGAAGUUGAUCUGUAUUCAUCUAUGAUACCUCAGCAACCACAAUAAGAACAAAUCAGCUCACCCAUCUGAGAUGAAGUGGAUUUCUAAAAGUAGGAGAGCAGAGCCAGGGGCUAAAGCCUGGGACUGUCUGUGUGACUACACCUGCAGAUAAGGCACAUUAGAAUGGCUGGCCCAUCCCACAGCCUAGACACACUUGUACAGGAGAAGCAUGUGGCUACUCCUGUGUAGCCUCCCAAGGUUUACUGGUG
RNAcentral lists this long non-coding RNA (461 nucleotides) under Vulpes vulpes (red fox). RNAcentral describes it as "lncRNA (ENSVVUG00000008033.1)". The record is from RNAcentral. Lineage: Eukaryota; Metazoa; Chordata; Mammalia; Carnivora; Canidae.